AUUGAACGCUGGCGGCAGGCCUAACACAUGCAAGUCGAGCGAGCGGCGGACGGGUGAGUAAUGUAUGGGGAUCUGCCUGAUGGAGGGGGAUAACUACUGGAAACGGUAGCUACUACCGCAUACCAUCAGAUGAACCCUUAUGGGAUUAGCUUGUAGGUGAGGUAACGGCUCACCUGGGCGACGAUCCCUAGCUGGUCUGAGAGGAUGAUCAGCCGCACUGGGACUGAGACACGGCCCUGACUCCAACGAGGGGCAGCAGUGGGGAAUAUUGGACAAUGGACGCAAGCCUGAUGCAGCCAUGCCGCGUGUGUGAAGAAGGCCUUCGGGUUGGAAAGUACUUUCAGUCGGGAGGCGUUACCGGCAGAAGAAGCACCGGCUAACUCCGUGCCAGCAGCCGCGGUAAUAC
RNAcentral lists this ribosomal RNA (406 nucleotides) under uncultured bacterium. Its description in RNAcentral is "partial 16S ribosomal RNA". It matches the Rfam family "Bacterial small subunit ribosomal RNA", at positions 30 to 526 of the family's 1533-position model. The record is from RNAcentral.